This 65-nucleotide transfer RNA is filed under the name Bursa rhodostoma. Its description in RNAcentral is "tRNA-Gln". The record is from RNAcentral. Lineage: Eukaryota; Metazoa; Mollusca; Gastropoda; Littorinimorpha; Bursidae.
UUACAAAGCGGUGUUAGGGCACGAAGAAUUUUGAUUUCUUAGGAAAGGGUCAYACCCUUCUGGUA